GAAAUGCGAUACGCAAUGCGAAUUGCAGAAUUCCGCGAGUCAUCAGAUCUUUGAACGCAACUGGCGCCAGAGGGAUAUCCUUCUGGCAUGCUUGUUUCAGUGUCUAGAAAUCUCAUAUAUCUUAAUGUGAUUGACUUCUUUUGCAAAAGAGAAAUCUCUCAUGAAAUAUGAAAAUGUGGAUCUUUCGGUCCAAUGAAGUAGUCACAUUCUAAAUGUGAUUUCAUUGGUAAUACUGAAUUAUUCGUAAACAUUUUUUUUAAGACAAUAAAAUCUUCAAUAUGCAUCUGAAAUCAAGCAAGGUCACCUGCUGAACUUAA
This 317-nucleotide unclassified non-coding RNA is filed under the name uncultured fungus. RNAcentral's name for it is "sequence contains ITS1". The stretch from base 1 to 105 matches the Rfam family "5.8S ribosomal RNA", at positions 50 to 154 of the family's 154-position model. The record is from RNAcentral. Lineage: Eukaryota; Fungi.